ACUUAAAUAGUUUAAUUAAAAUAUCAGCUUGUGGGUCUGGUGAUGUAUAUUUUAUACUUUAAGUC
This 65-nucleotide transfer RNA is filed under the name Dryococelus australis. Its description in RNAcentral is "tRNA-His". Lineage: Eukaryota; Metazoa; Arthropoda; Insecta; Phasmatodea; Phasmatidae. The record is from RNAcentral.